RNAcentral lists this ribosomal RNA (511 nucleotides) under uncultured bacterium. RNAcentral describes it as "bacterial SSU rRNA". It matches the Rfam family "Bacterial small subunit ribosomal RNA", at positions 28 to 526 of the family's 1533-position model. The record is from RNAcentral.
GAUGAACGCUAGCGACAGGCUUAACACAUGCAAGUCGAGGGGUAGCAGGGAUAAAGCUUGCUUUAUUUGCUGACGACCGGCGCACGGGUGCGUAACACGUAUGCAACCUACCUUAUACAGGGGGAUAGCCCAUGGAAACGUGGAUUAAUACCCCAUAGUACUUUACAUUCGCAUGAAUGUAGGGUUAAAGUCUUCGGAUGGUAUAAGAUGGGCAUGCGUCCCAUUAGAUAGUUGGAGAGGUAACGGCUCCCCAAGUCUAUGAUGGGUAGGGGUUCUGAGAGGAAGGUCCCCCACACUGGAACUGAGACACGGUCCAGACUCCUACGGGAGGCAGCAGUGAGGAAUAUUGGUCAAUGGUCGAAAGACUGAACCAGCCAAGUCGCGUGAGGGAAGACAGCCCUAUGGGUUUUAAACCUCUUUUGUAAUGGAAGAAUAAGUCUUACGAGUAGGACGAUGCCAGUACAUUACGAAUAAGCAUCGGCUAACUCCGUGCCAGCAGCCGCAGUAACAC